UAGAUUUAGCAAAAACUAUUAUCACGUUCUAUAUUUUAUUGCAUGUUUAAGUAAAUAUAUUUCUUAUUGAUAGGUAUAAGCUUCAUGAAUGUGUGACGUGUAGGCUUGUAUACUAUGAUUGUUUGUGUUUCAUGUGUCUAUAUUUGUAUAUUCAUCAGGAUAAUAUCCUAAAGGGUUGCAUGAUCUAAGAUUUUUUUUAGAAAAAAGGAAAUUAUGAUUAGGUCAUAUCUUAAUAUGUCAUUCUGUUUUACCUUGUCAUCUCACUUACCAUGCUCUAGCGUGACAAGGAUUGUCAGUUAAGUAAAAAG
This 308-nucleotide long non-coding RNA is filed under the name Capsicum annuum. Its description in RNAcentral is "long non-coding RNA (CANN_LNC006119)". Lineage: Eukaryota; Viridiplantae; Streptophyta; Magnoliopsida; Solanales; Solanaceae. The record is from RNAcentral.